GACGAACGCUGGCGGCGUGCUUAACACAUGCAAGUCGAACGGAAAGGCCCUGCUUGCAGGGUACUCGAGUGGCGAACGGGUGAGUAACACGUGGGUGAUCUGCCCUGCACUUCGGGAUAAGCCUGGGAAACUGGGUCUAAUACCGGAUAGGAGCCAUUUUUAGUGUGAUGGUUGGAAAGUUUUUUCGGUGUAGGAUGAGCUCGCGGCCUAUCAGCUUGUUGGUGGGGUAAUGGCCUACCAAGGCGGCGACGGGUAGCCGGCCUGAGAGGGUGGACGGCCACAUUGGGGCUGAGGAACGGCCCAGACUCCUACGGGAGGCAGCAGUGGGGAAUAUUGCACAAUGGGCGCGAGCCUGAUGCAGCGACGCCGCGUGGGGGAUGACGGGCUUCGGGUUGGAAACUCCUUUCGCUAGGGACGAAGCUUUUUGUGACGGUACCUAGAUAAGAAGCACCGGCUAACUACGUG
This 465-nucleotide ribosomal RNA is filed under the name uncultured bacterium. RNAcentral describes it as "partial 16S ribosomal RNA". It matches the Rfam family "Bacterial small subunit ribosomal RNA", at positions 28 to 507 of the family's 1533-position model. The record is from RNAcentral.